UUAAUAAUUAACAAGAAAAAUUAUUAAUUAAUAACUAUAUAACAUUUAGCACAGAAAAGGUGGGGGCAUUACUAACGCCCACUACACAUAACGUAUCUAUAUAAGUUCAACAUAUCGCGUCCAACAACGGGGAGGAGGGUGGGUAAUUCUCUUCCAUCCAAUUUCUUGAUGUGAACUGCACUGUGCAGCCUUCGUGGAAUAGGAAAGAACAGAUAGCCCGCUUCACCACUGAUAAAUACCGAAAUUUCCAGUCACGUGACUAUACCUAAAUUAACUUGCGCGCGCAAAUUACUUAUUUCGCAUAAUUAAUUUCAACCAUAAAUUAUUCCGGGAAGCAAUAAAAACUCUUAUCGCUGUGGCAAUAAGUUCCUUUAUCGCUUCCCUACAUAUAUUAAACCACCAUCGGCAAACUGUUUGUCAGGUUGAGCUCGGUUUUCUGUGCUGCCGAAUACUACGAGACCAGUCAAAGCCUUUAUGGCAUAAUUAUGGCUUAUGUGCCCGGUUGUUGGCACAUAGCCGCUUUAUUGUUUUAAUCAAUUUUUAAUAAUUAACAAGAAAAAUUAUUAAUUAAUAACUAUAUAACAUUUAGCACAGAAAUGGUGGGGGCAUUACUAACGCCACAAGUCUCCUUGGGAUAAAGGAGACACACCCCACCCCAACAUGACAAAUCGUUUGCAGAUGAUCGUGAAAAAUAUCUACAUAUACUGAUACCACAUGUUACGAAAACCUCAAUCUAGGUCAGUUUCACUGCACAUGCUAUUGUCAGUCAAAAGCAAUGAACUUGCACUGGUCUACAUAAUAGCAGUACUAUCAAUUACCUAGUUGACUAUAUACCUCGCUAUAUACUAUAUACAAGCCUCUACUGAAAUAAAUAUGAUCAGCUGAAAUGUGAACUUUACCCCUGUGUCAGUUCAAUAUCCAACCGAUCACGAAUACGUG
This is a non-coding RNA of Paramuricea clavata, 939 nucleotides long. The record is from the annotation of a GenBank genome assembly. Lineage: Eukaryota; Metazoa; Cnidaria; Anthozoa; Malacalcyonacea; Plexauridae.